RNAcentral lists this ribosomal RNA (254 nucleotides) under uncultured bacterium. Its description in RNAcentral is "partial 16S ribosomal RNA". It matches the Rfam family "Bacterial small subunit ribosomal RNA", at positions 524 to 776 of the family's 1533-position model. The record is from RNAcentral.
UACGUAGGGUGCGAGCGUUGUCCGGAAUUAUUGGGCGUAAAGAGCUCGUAGGCGGUGUGUCGCGUCGGUCGUGAAAACUUGGGGCUUAACCCUGAGCUUGCGGUCGAUACGGGCAUCACUGGAGUUCGGCAGGGGAGACUGGAAUUCCUGGUGUAGCGGUGAAAUGCGCAGAUAUCGCUUGGAACGCCGACGGUGAAAACAGCUCGCUGGGGACUCGCUGACGCUGAGACACGAAAGCCAGGGGAGCGAACGGG